GACGAACGCUGGCGGCGUGCUUAACACAUGCAAGUCGAACGGAAAGGCCUGCUUUCCCUUGUGGAUUGCGGGUACUCGAGUGGCGAACGGGUGAGUAACACGUGAGUGAUCUGCCCCCAACUUGGGUAUAAGCCUGGGAAACUGGGUCUAAUUCCCGAUAGGACUGCAGGGUGGUGCCUGUGGUGGAAAACGAUUUUCUAGUGGUUGGGGAUGAGCUCGCGGCCUAUCAGCUUGUUGGUGGGGUAAUGGCCUACCAAGGCGGCGACGGGUAGCCGGCCUGAGAGGGUGGACGGCCACAUUGGGACUGAGAUACGGCCCAGACUCCUACGGGAGGCAGCAGUGGGGAAUAUUGCACAAUGGGCGGAAGCCUGAUGCAGCGACGCCGCGUGGGGGAUGACGGCCUUCGGGUUGUAAACUCCUUUCGACCGCGAGGAAGCCACCUGGUUGGAAGGGUGGUGACGGUAGUGAUAGAAGAAGCACCGGCUAACUACGUG
This 494-nucleotide ribosomal RNA is filed under the name uncultured bacterium. RNAcentral describes it as "partial 16S ribosomal RNA". It matches the Rfam family "Bacterial small subunit ribosomal RNA", at positions 28 to 507 of the family's 1533-position model. The record is from RNAcentral.